RNAcentral lists this ribosomal RNA (349 nucleotides) under uncultured bacterium. Its description in RNAcentral is "bacterial SSU rRNA". It matches the Rfam family "Bacterial small subunit ribosomal RNA", at positions 29 to 371 of the family's 1533-position model. The record is from RNAcentral.
AACGAACGCUGGCGGCGCGCCUAAUACAUGCAAGUCGAGCGAGAAGACGUAGCAAUACGUUUGUAAAGCGGCGAACGGGUGAGGAAUACAUGGGUAACCUACCCUCGAGUGGGGAAUAACUAGCCGAAAGGUUAGCUAAUACCGCGUACGCUCCUUGGACUUCGGUUCAGGGAGGAAAGCGAUACCGUGGGUAUCGCGCUCUUGGAUGGGCUCAUGUCCUAUCAGCUUGUUGGGAGGUAACGGCUCACCAAGGCUUCGACGGGUAGCUGGUCUGAGAGGAGAUCAGCCACACUGGCACUGCGACACGGGCCAGACUCCUACGGGAGGCAGCAGUAAGGAUAUUGCGCAA